CUGGCGUGGCCCUUGCCGGGGCGUGACACGUCGUCCGGCCCUUCUCCGGAGCUGAAUUUGGAGGCUGCGCGUUGCUUGCUUCCUCCGUCGUUGGAUGCCCAUCGUGCGUCCAUGCCUGCCUGACGCUGAUCAUUUUGCAAAAAAGCCCUUAAACUAAUUGAUAAUUUGGUUUUAGAUCUCUGGUAUACAGUUUCUACGUUCUACGUUAUUACGUAUAGGACCUCUAAAAAAGAAAUAUUCUAAUCAAAGAAGCAAAAAACAGAAAAUAGGACUGCGCUCGAAAACAUAGAAACUAAGGGGGUUUUCUGCAACAACUUGCAUCCCUAUCCCGGUCCCUCACCCCACGAAACCCUAGCCGCCGCCGUUCCGUCACCUCUCUCUUCUCGCUCGCUCUCCCUAGACCACACCGCCGCAUCCGCCUCCGCCUCCGACCACUCUUCUUGCACCCAGCCAAAUCGCCGCACCUCCCCCUUGCCACCGCGAGGCCAGUUCCGGCGGAGGGUAGACCGUGCUCGCCGGAUUCGGGUAGCCACGACCUCCUUGCCGGCGGAUCCGGUCACCCGGAGGCAAGGGCAGGGCUAGCACAUGAGGCUCAUCGGCAGUGUCGCGGUUCUUAGCAAAUAACUCAGAUUUCCUUGAGCAUAUCAUUUCAGGAUAAAAAGCAUAAGAGGUGGUCGACCAUCUAUAGUUGCUUUGCCUCUCACACGAGCCACGAAUGAAGCUCCACAGCUUAGCGGCAAUUGUAUACCAGUAGAUGAUGCUGGUUUUGUUUGCCAUCAGUCAUCUUGAUUACCUUGGUUGAUGUGAUGGAAAAGGACUGCAGUUUGGAUCCAAACUUUGGAUCUAAACACAGCCUAAAUGUGAAACUAAUUCUGUGAGUAGAUGAGGUUCUGUGAUAAUUUUCUUGAGCAUAAGUGCACGUUUUGAUGUUCUCUAUCUGCAUUUUCUUGUAUGCUUUCCCCUUUUGUGCAGAUAAAUAACUGGCAAGAUAUUGGAAUGCCUAAGAAUGGUACAAAACUAAGAGCAAGAACUUUCGGUGCCAAUACAACACUGCCAGCCUUUGGUCAUGAAAACAUUAGAGAAUCAACUUAGACAUCACCAUAUCUUACAGGUGGGCUUAAAGUAUAUAAUAAACAAAGUGGAACAAGUCAUGAAUGUCAUGCCUAAUUGUUGUUGUUUUAACCAGGCAACAAACUCAGGAAAUCGAGAUGCACACUUCAAAUGAUCUGUUUGAUCAUGCAGAGUUAUAAAAAAGGUGGCGUGGUGGUCUUGCAUAGGUGGGUUUCAAAGUUUCUAUAUCAGUUUUUCAUUGAUGUGGUUCAAGUGUUAAAUUUCCUUGGGUUUUCUGCUCAGAAUUGUAGAUUUUCUUUACUGAAAACUGCAAGCGACAAGUUCUGUUCCAUUGGUCAAUAUAAUCUUUUUGGUGAUAUUCUGCAAGAUGUUUAGUCAAAUCCAUGACUAUUAUAUCCAGACUAGAACCAAAUUUAUACCACAAAAUAUAGUAUUUAUUGCUGAGGUCGUAGGGUUUAUUUGUAAUAAAAUGUGUUCUUUUUUAUUUUAUGUAUGUAUGACUACCUGCCUUUGUUUAAUUUAUUUCUCGCAUGCUUGUUUUCUAUACAUAUCUAACUUUCAUGUAACCUCUGUUUUUUUACCUGUCUUGUUGCCGGCAGCGCGGCAACGGCGCGCGCCACCCCUAGUAAUCUACACACGUGCUCCCGUCCCCGAUUUCC
Oryza sativa Japonica Group (Japanese rice) is the source of this 1730-nucleotide non-coding RNA. Lineage: Eukaryota; Viridiplantae; Streptophyta; Magnoliopsida; Poales; Poaceae. The record is from RefSeq and is a predicted model, not a curated record.